CCCUCAGCCUGGUUGGUAAUCAGGUGGUGAGUGUAAGUGCACAAGGGAGCUUGACUGUGAGACCGACGGGUCGAGCAGGGACGAAAGUCGGGACUAGUGAUCCGGCGGUGGCUUGUGGAAGCGCCGUCGCUCAACGGAUAAAAGGUACCCCGGGGAUAACAGGCUGAUCUUCCCCAAGAGUCCAUAUCGACGGGAUGGUUUGGCACCUCGAUGUCGGCUCGUCGCAUCCUGGGGCUGGAGUCGGUCCCAAGGGUUGGGCUGUUCGCCCAUUAAAGCGGUACGCGAGCUGGGUUUAGAACGUCGUGAGACAGUUCGGUCCCUAUCCGCUGCGCGCGUAGGAGUCUUGAGAAGGGCUGUCCCUAGUACGAGAGGACCGGGACGGACGAACCUCUGGUGUGCCAGUUGUUCUGCCAAGGGCAUGGCUGGUUGGCUACGUUCGGGAGGGAUAACCGCUGAAAGCAUCUAAGCGGGAAGCCUGCUUCGAGAUGAGGACUCCCACCCACUUGAUGGGGUAAGGCUCCCAGUAGACGACUGGGUUGAUAGGCCGGAUCUGGAAGCCAGGUAACUGGUGGAGGUGACCGGUACUAAUAGGCCGAGGGCUUGUCCUCAGUUG
RNAcentral lists this ribosomal RNA (613 nucleotides) under Streptomyces griseoaurantiacus. RNAcentral's name for it is "partial 23S ribosomal RNA". It matches the Rfam family "Bacterial large subunit ribosomal RNA", at positions 2319 to 2925 of the family's 2925-position model. The record is from RNAcentral. Lineage: Bacteria; Bacillati; Actinomycetota; Actinomycetes; Kitasatosporales; Streptomycetaceae.